GACGAACGCUGGCGGCGUGCUUAACACAUGCAAGUCGAACGGAAAGGCCCCUUUGGGGGUACUCGAGUGGCGAACGGGUGAGUAACACGUGAGUAACCUGCCCUUGACUUCGGGAUAACUUCAGGAAACUGGGGCUAAUACCGGCUAGGAAUCCUUGCUGCAUGGUGGGGGUUGGAAAGCUUCGGCGGUUUUGGAUGGACUCGCGGCUUAUCAGCUUGUUGGUGGGGUAGUGGCUUACCAAGGCUUUGACGGGUAGCCGGCCUGAGAGGGCGACCGGCCACAUUGGGACUGAGGGACGGCCCAGACUCCUACGGGAGGAAGCAGUGGGGAAUAUUGCACAAUGGGCGGAAGCCGGAUGAAGCAACGCCGCGUGCGGGAUGACGGCCUUCGGGUUGUAAACCGCUUUCAGCAGGGGCGAAGCUUGUGGUGACGGUACCUGCAGAAGAAGCACCGGCUAACUACGUG
RNAcentral lists this ribosomal RNA (465 nucleotides) under uncultured bacterium. RNAcentral's name for it is "partial 16S ribosomal RNA". It matches the Rfam family "Bacterial small subunit ribosomal RNA", at positions 28 to 507 of the family's 1533-position model. The record is from RNAcentral.